GACGAACGCUGGCGGCGUGCUUAACACAUGCAGGUCGAACGGAAAGGCCCUGCUUUUGUGGGGUGCUCGAGUGGCGAACGGGUGAGUAACACGUGAGUAACCUGCCCUUGACUUUGGGAUAACUGCAGGAAACUGGGGCUAAUACCGGAUAGGAGCUCCUGCUGCAUGGUGGGGGUUGGAAAGUUUCGGCGGUUGGGGAUGGACUCGCGGCUUAUCAGCUUGUUGGUGGGGUAGUGGCUUACCAAGGCUUUGACGGGUAGCCGGCCUGAGAGGGUGACCGGCCACAUUGGGACUGAGAUACGGCCCAGACUCCUACGGGAGGCAGCAGUGGGGAAUAUUGCACAAUGGGCGGAAGCCUGAUGCAGCAACGCCGCGUGCGGGAUGACGGCCUUCGGGUUGUAAACCGCUUUCGCCUGUGACGAAGCGUGAGUGACGGUAAUGGGUAAAGAAGCACCGGCUAACUACGUG
Molecule: ribosomal RNA, 468 nt
Filed under: uncultured bacterium
Lineage: Bacteria
Description: partial 16S ribosomal RNA
Rfam family: Bacterial small subunit ribosomal RNA
Source: RNAcentral